AUUGAACGCUGGCGGCAGGCUUAACACAUGCAAGUCGAGCGGAGUGAUGGUGCUUGCACUAUCACUUAGCGGCGGACGGGUGAGUAAUGCUUAGGAAUCUGCCUAUUGGUGGGGGACAACAUCUCGACAGGGAUGCUAAUACCGCAUACGUCCUACGGGAGAAAGCAGGGGAUCACUUGUGACCUUGCGCUACUAGAUGAGCCUAAGUCGGAUUAGCUAGUUGGUGGGGUAAAGGCCUACCAAGGCGACGAUCUGUAGCGGGUCUGAGAGGAUGAUCCGCCACACUGGGACUGAGACACGGCCCAGACUCCUACGGGAGGCAGCAGUGGGGAAUAUUGGACAAUGGGGGGAACCCUGAUCCAGCCAUGCCGCGUGUGUGAAGAAGGCCUUAUGGUUGUAAAGCACUUUAAGCGAGGAGGAGGCUUACCUAGUUAAUACCUGGGAUAAGUGGACGUUACUCGCAGAAUAAGCACCGGCUAACUCUGUGCCAGCCGCCGCGGUAA
RNAcentral lists this ribosomal RNA (503 nucleotides) under uncultured bacterium. RNAcentral's name for it is "partial 16S ribosomal RNA". It matches the Rfam family "Bacterial small subunit ribosomal RNA", at positions 30 to 523 of the family's 1533-position model. The record is from RNAcentral.